This 291-nucleotide ribosomal RNA is filed under the name uncultured bacterium. RNAcentral's name for it is "partial 16S ribosomal RNA". It matches the Rfam family "Bacterial small subunit ribosomal RNA", at positions 355 to 638 of the family's 1533-position model. The record is from RNAcentral.
UAGGGAAUCUUCCACAAUGGACGCAAGUCUGAUGGAGCAACGCCGCGUGAGUGAAGAAGGCUUUCGGGUCGUAAAACUCUGUUAUUGAAGAAGAACGUGUGUGACAGUAACUGGUCAUGCAGUGACGGUACUCAAUCAGAAAGUCACGGCUAACUACGUGCCAGCAGCCGCGGUAAUACGUAGGUGGCAAGCGUUGUCCGGAUUUAUUGGGCGUAAAGCGAGUGCAGGCGGUCUUUUAAGUCUGAUGUGAAAGCCUUCGGCUUAACCGAAGAAGGGCAUCGGAAACUGGGA